Molecule: long non-coding RNA, 2744 nt
Filed under: Cairina moschata (Muscovy duck)
Lineage: Eukaryota; Metazoa; Chordata; Aves; Anseriformes; Anatidae
Description: domestica (muscovy Duck (domestic type)) lncRNA (ENSCMMG00000015062.1)
Source: RNAcentral
GGCAUCUGAAACCCGUCCAAAUGAUGCAGAAACUUUUGCGUGCCUGGCUCCUUUCUUUAAGGCCAGGCACCGAUUUUUUUCCGCUGUGUAAUCUCUUUUGUCAGAAGGGUGGGAGCUGGAAAGGGCGGCAGGGGGUGGGGGUGGGAGUGGGGGGUGGAGAGCAGCUGUUGUAUUUCCACACAGCGAGUAUUAGGAGUAUCCCUAGAGAAAUAUAUAUGUGUGCACAUACGUGCCUAUAUAAUUCUAUGUAUGUAGAUAAGAAUGUCAAAAUGCACAGCUGUCAGUAUCAGUCUUCUCCCCUCCUUAAGGGAGACACUGUACUCUGUAGGUACCGUGAAUUGUUAACAGUGCAGUAAUCCCCUCCUCCCUCUCCCCUUUCUUCUCCGUGAUCAUCUAAAUUAUAAAUAUAUAUAUAUAUAUAUAUAUAAUGCAAUAAUCUACGGUUCUACAUUGUAUAGAGAACACCAGAAAGCAUGAAACGCUAUAGACUGCAGAGGAGGAAGAAAUGCAUUUAAAGCAACGAUAAAAAUGGCGUGCAGGAUAAUUACCUCAAAUUGCUAUUCGCUUGACACCCUGACACUAAUUCUGUUCAAGCCAUUGGGACAUACAAUAAGGCAAAUACACCUUCCUCGCCUGCUUGUGCAGGUAUGAGUGUGUGUGAAGAGGGGCAAUAGGGAUCAGGUCGGGAGGAGGGGAACACUAAACUUUCCAUCUUAAAAAAAAAAAAAAAAAAAAAAGAAUAAAUUAAUUAAUCUAUUUAAGAGAAAGCAUCUAAAUAGAUCGACAGCUUAUAAUGCUAGCGUUUUUAACGCUUGCUCUGUAUGUGAAUUGAUUUUUUUUUUCUCCAGCAUUCCCUCAGCAGUCGGAUUUUUGCCACUGCAGCUCAGCAGAGGGUGUCAGAUCUUUCAGAGUGCACCAGGUUGAAACGAGCAGAGCCUCUUAGCAACUCUCCCCCUGCGUGCCUGUGAGUGUGUGCGAGCUUAGCGUGCGGCUCGGCAGCAGCGGAAGAAAACGGAAAGAAGAGCGAGCGAGGGCGCGGGCGACGAGGGGAGGCAGCGCGGCCGGCAGGGCGAGGCGAGGCGCGGCGCGGUCGCUCGAUCGGUCUGUCAGUCCGUCGUUCUGUCGGGGAGCGCCGACCCCUCCGCAGGCUCCCGCCGCAGGCAGCAUGGGCAGCGGCGCAGCGCAGCGGGGGCAAGGGGCGCCGCGCAGCGCCGGGGGCUCGGCGGCCAUCGCCUAGGCAGCGCCUUCAGCACCGGCAGCCCGGACAGCUCCCGGCGGGCGGCCCCGCGGCCCCGCGCCACAAGGUCAGCCCGGCGCCGAGCCCGAGCCGGAGCGGGAACCGCGCACACGCGCAGCCUCCGCGCAAACCGCGGCGCGCUCCACCCGCUCCUCUCCGGCAUGCGGCGGCUGCCGGCGGCCGGCACCGUUUCCCUGACGGCUACAGGUCCAGCACAGACUCUGCUCUGGUGGGGAUUCUCCACAGGCUGCAACCUCCUUCAGGCCACAUCCACCUGCUCCGCAGUGGUCUCCACAGGCUGCAGUGUGGAGAUCUGCUUCACCAUGGUACACUACAGUCUGCAAAGGGAUAACCUGCUUCAUCAUGGGCCUCUCCAAAGGUUGCAGGGGAACUUCAGCUCCAGCAUCAGUCUUGUUCAAUUUAUUCAUCAAUGAUCUGGAUGAUGGAAUGCAGUGCACCCUCCCUAAGUUUGCUGAUGACACAAAACUCAGAGGAAUAGCUGAUAACCGCAGAGAGCUGUGCUUCCAUUCAGAGGGACCUUGACAGGAUGGAGGGAUGGGCUGAGAGAAAUGUCAUGAAAUUCAACAAGGGUAAGUGCAGGGUCCUACACCUAGGGAGGAAUAACCCCUAGCACCAGUGGAGACUGCGGAAUUACCUGCUAGAGAGCAGCCCUGCAGAGAAGAACCAGGUAGUGUUGGUGUUCCUGUGGAUUCUCCUUCUCUGUAGAUAUUCAAAACACACCUGGAUGUGGUCCUGUGCAGCAUGUUCUAUGUGACCCUGCUUGAGCAGGAGGUUGGAGUAGAUGGUCUCCAAAGGUCCCUUCCAACCUCAACCAUUUUGUAAUUCUUUAAAGUACCUUAAUCCAUUACUUUUCCUUCCUUUGGUUCCUCCCCUACACAUACCAUAAAUUUUCUGCAGUCCAAAGAUGAUCUUUCCCUACAUUCCAUAAUGUGUUCCAUACCCCUCUGGGUAAUAGCCCCCCUGAAUUUGAAAGGAGAGUAGUUUAUUAGAUUAGAUUAGAUUAGAUUAGAUUAGAUUAGAUUAGAUUAGAUCAUUCAGAUUAUUCUCGUUAAUGUUAUUAGAUUACUCUGAUUCCUCUGCCUGUCACUUUUAUUUUAUCCUUUCUUGUGUGUGCAGAAGCAAGCCCUUUAUCAGAUAGUCCAACUGUCUCCAGCAUUUAUAUAGAGAGGUCUAUGUGAAUAAAUUAAAGGUAGAUGCCCGGAUUGUUUACAUGGUAGACAUCUACUUUUGUUAAGGUGACAACUGUCCUUAGCAUGGGAAAUUUGUCAAAGUUUUCUUGCAAUUUGUUUCUGAAACUUCAUCUUGUAAAACUCUUCUGAUUGGACUACAGUGUUCUGGUUAAUACUGCUGAUACAAUUCCUGUCAGUGCAAGCUUAUUUUGAAAUAAUUGAAAGAAUAUGUUCUAAUAUUAUCAUCUACAACAUGUACAAAUGCAUACAGCACUGUAUGAGCAAUGAAAACUGUUAUUGAAUAAUUCAAUAAAUUU